CAUGUCUAGUUGGUGGCAAUGACCAAAAGAAAGGGACAGACAACAGCCACGAAGGCUCCCCAGCAGAGGUCACUGCGGACCAGGAAGCGCAAGGCUGCGGAGGACGAUGAGCAGAGAGAUGACCUGCCGGUAACGGACACAACCAAACAGGAUUCUGAUAACAUAAACUCCACCUCCCAGAAUGCCUCAGUCUCAGAGACUACUCCACAGGAAUGCUCUCCAGACAGCAUAGUGAAUGCUGACUCAUCUGCAGCUGAAGCAAACAAAUUGGGAGAUGCGAUUACUCAUGAUGUUGGUGUUUCCUCUGGACUGGAACCCGAAGAGAAAGUCACGUCAGACGCACAAACACCCAAACCUGCCCUCUCCGAGGGUUCUGAUGCCCUGU
Long non-coding RNA from Sardina pilchardus (European sardine), 385 nucleotides. RefSeq lists it as uncharacterized. The transcript has 3 exons. Lineage: Eukaryota; Metazoa; Chordata; Actinopteri; Clupeiformes; Clupeidae. The record is from RefSeq and is a predicted model, not a curated record.